Molecule: ribosomal RNA, 1534 nt
Filed under: bacterium NTL338
Lineage: Bacteria
Description: bacterial SSU rRNA
Rfam family: Bacterial small subunit ribosomal RNA
Source: RNAcentral
AGAGUUUGAUCCUGGCUCAGAUUGAACGCUGGCGGCAGGCUUAACACAUGCAAGUCGAGCGGUAGCACAGGGGAGCUUGCUCCCUGGGUGACGAGCGGCGGACGGGUGAGUAAUGUCUGGGAAACUGCCUGAUGGAGGGGGAUAACUACUGGAAACGGUAGCUAAUACCGCAUAACGUCGCAAGACCAAAGAGGGGGACCUUCGGGCCUCUUGCCAUCAGAUGUGCCCAGAUGGGAUUAGCUAGUAGGUGGGGUAAUGGCUCACCUAGGCGACGAUCCUUAGCUGGUCUGAGAGGAUGACCAGCCACACUGGAACUGAGACACGGUCCAGACUCCUACGGGAGGCAGCAGUGGGGAAUAUUGCACAAUGGGCGCAAGCCUGAUGCAGCCAUGCCGCGUGUGUGAAGAAGGCCUUCGGGUUGUAAAGCACUUUCAGCGAGGAGGAAGGUGGUGAGCUUAAUACGCUCAUCAAUUGACGUUACUCGCAGAAGAAGCACCGGCUAACUCCGUGCCAGCAGCCGCGGUAAUACGGAGGGUGCAAGCGUUAAUCGGAAUUACUGGGCGUAAAGCGCACGCAGGCGGUUUGUUAAGUCAGAUGUGAAAUCCCCGGGCUCAACCUGGGAACUGCAUUUGAAACUGGCAAGCUAGAGUCUCGUAGAGGGGGGUAGAAUUCCAGGUGUAGCGGUGAAAUGCGUAGAGAUCUGGAGGAAUACCGGUGGCGAAGGCGGCCCCCUGGACGAAGACUGACGCUCAGGUGCGAAAGCGUGGGGAGCAAACAGGAUAGAUACCCUGGUAGUCCACGCUGUAAACGAUGUCGAUUUGGAGGUUGUGCCCUUGAGGCGUGGCUUCCGGAGCUAACGCGUUAAAUCGACCGCCUGGGGAGUACGGCCGCAAGGUUAAAACUCAAAUGAAUUGAACGGGGGCCCGCACAAGCGGUGGAGCAUGUGGUUUAAUUCGAUGCAACGCGAAGAACCUUACCUACUCUUGACAUCCAGAGAACUUUCCAGAGAUGGAUUGGUGCCUUCGGGAACUCUGAGACAGGUGCUGCAUGGCUGUCGUCAGCUCGUGUUGUGAAAUGUUGGGUUAAGUCCCGCAACGAGCGCAACCCUUAUCCUUUGUUGCCAGCGGUUCGGCCGGGAACUCAAAGGAGACUGCCAGUGAUAAACUGGAGGAAGGUGGGGAUGACGUCAAGUCAUCAUGGCCCUUACGAGUAGGGCUACACACGUGCUACAAUGGCGUAUACAAAGAGAAGCGACCUCGCGAGAGCAAGCGGACCUCAUAAAGUACGUCGUAGUCCGGAUUGGAGUCUGCAACUCGACUCCAUGAAGUCGGAAUCGCUAGUAAUCGUAGAUCAGAAUGCUACGGUGAAUACGUUCCCGGGCCUUGUACACACCGCCCGUCACACCAUGGGAGUGGGUUGCAAAAGAAGUAGGUAGCUUAACCUUCGGGAGGGCGCUUACCACUUUGUGAUUCAUGACUGGGGUGAAGUCGUAACAAGGUAACCGUAGGGGAACCUGCGGUUGGAUCACCUCCUU